AGCCGCGGUAAGACAGAGGGGGCAAGCGUUGUCCGGACUUACUGGGCGUACAGCGCGCGCAGGCGGCCGCGUAUGUGACCGGUGACAUUUUCCCGCUCAACGGGAAACGGCCCGGUUAGACAGCGGGGCUGGAGUGAGGGAGAGGGAUGUGGAAUACCCGGUGGAGCGGUGAAAUGCGUAGAGAUCGGGUGGAACACCAGCGGCGAAGGCGGCAUCCUGGCCCUUGACUGACGCUGAGGCGCGAUAGCGUGGGGAGCAAAC
RNAcentral lists this ribosomal RNA (261 nucleotides) under uncultured bacterium. RNAcentral's name for it is "partial 16S ribosomal RNA". It matches the Rfam family "Bacterial small subunit ribosomal RNA", at positions 513 to 773 of the family's 1533-position model. The record is from RNAcentral.